This 240-nucleotide unclassified non-coding RNA is filed under the name soil metagenome. RNAcentral describes it as "partial contains 5.8S ribosomal RNA, internal transcribed spacer 2, and large subunit ribosomal RNA". The record is from RNAcentral.
AACUGAUACUACCUGCGGGAACCUGCGGAGGGAUCAUUACAGUGCUCGUCGGUACGUCGCGUCUCCGGGCGUCGGCGCACCGCACCUGCCCCACCCGUGUCUACCUUUCUUCUGUUGCUUCGGCGGGCCCGCCCCCGAGCGUACCCACGCGCUGGGUGCGUCCGGCGGCGGACCGGGGGUUUUUCACCCCUGGCCAGCGCCCGUCAGAGGACCCCUUGAACCCUUUGUGAAUGUACGGCA